UCCUACGGGUGGCUGCAGUCGAGAAUCUUCCGCAAUGGACGAAAGUCUGACGGAGCGACGCCGCGUGGAGGAUGAAGUGCUUCGGUAUGUAAACUCCUUUUGCCGGGGACGAAGUUAUUGACGGUACCCGGAGAAUAAGAAGUUGCUAAACUCGUGCCAGCAGCAGCGGUAAUACGAGUGCUUCGAGCGUUAUCCGGAAUCAUUGGGCGUAAAGGGUGUGUAGGCGGUGAUAUUAGUCUUGCGUUAAAUUUUCCGGCUCAACCGGAAAGCUGCGCGAGAAACGGUAUCGCUAAGAGGACGGUAGAGGUCUCUGGAACUCAUGGUGUAGCGGUGAAAUGCGUUGAUAUCAUGGGGAACACCAAAAGCGAAGGCAAGAGACUGGACCGCUCCUGACGCUGAAACACGAAAGCGUGGGUCGCGAAUGGGAUUAGAUACCCCAGUAGUC
RNAcentral lists this ribosomal RNA (445 nucleotides) under uncultured bacterium. RNAcentral's name for it is "bacterial SSU rRNA". It matches the Rfam family "Bacterial small subunit ribosomal RNA", at positions 337 to 795 of the family's 1533-position model. The record is from RNAcentral.